This is a non-coding RNA of Oryzias melastigma (Indian medaka), 627 nucleotides long. Lineage: Eukaryota; Metazoa; Chordata; Actinopteri; Beloniformes; Adrianichthyidae. The record is from the annotation of a RefSeq genome assembly.
AGAUUAGAAAACAAAACAUUUGACUUUUUCAUUCAGUAGUUGUAACAUGACUUUUGCAUGAGGAGGUCUUUACAAACCUCCUUCUUCAUAAACUCACCAAAGAAACAAGAACAGGUUCUGACAGAAACACUGAAACUCUUUUCUUCAUGUUUGGAACUUUACUUUGAAAAACUGAAAGACAGUAACUUCAAAUGGAAAUGAAACAAACCUGGAGUUUAGUGUUUUUACUUUUCCUACAAGGAGUCUGGAGUCAGAUCAAACUGGAUCAGAGUCCGAAUGUGGUGAAAAGACCUGGAGAAACUGUGAAGAUGUCGUGUGUCAUUUCUGGUUAUAGCAUGACAAGCUACAGCAUCCACUGGAUCAGACAGAAACCAGGCAGAGCUCUGGAGUGGAUCGGAUGGAUGUACACAGGACGCAACUCUCCCACAUAUUCCAGUUCUUUUCAGGAUCGUUUCCUGAUGACUGAAGUUGUGUCCAGCAGCUCUCAGUAUCUGGAGAUCAGCAGCCUGACAGCAGAAGAUUCUGCUGUUUACUUCUGUGCACGAAGAAGCACAGUGACUGAAGACAGUGAAGCAGCUGCACAAAAACCUCCACAAACAUCAGAGUGAUCAGAGAUUCACUUCAGUU